Molecule: long non-coding RNA, 469 nt
Organism: Haplochromis burtoni (Burton's mouthbrooder)
Lineage: Eukaryota; Metazoa; Chordata; Actinopteri; Cichliformes; Cichlidae
Exons: 6
Source: RefSeq, a predicted model, not a curated record
ACGAUCUGAUUUCCUCGUGUCAGCAUUGUUCCCACAUCAUCAUAAUUAAUGUUGUUCCAGGUUCAACAUUGCAAGUGACCAAUCACCUUCUUGUGACGUCAUUCCUUUGCGACUUCGAAAUACCCGCCUUCGAGUAUUUCGAAAUACAAGUGAAGAAGCGAGAAACCGCCGCCUGUCCGCCGAAUUUGAAGUCAAUUUAGGAUACUUUUCUUUAAUAAACGAAACUGUGACUCCUUCACAAUGUCAGAUUACCUUGUGGGAGUAGCUGGACCAAACUCUAUUGGUAUUUCAAGUUUGAAAUCCCUGUUUGACCAGACAAACAUUUCAGAUGAGGUAAUAGAUGGCCUAAUCUAUUUGCAGUGUGAGAAUUUCCCUCACAUUUAUCCAAUACCAAGCCAAAUCACUGGAAAAAUUUUGGAUGGGUCCACAAGAGCACAAAGUGCAUACUUUUUGAAGAAAAACAUCUUUC